UGCUGCUGCUUUUUCUCUGAUUUGUAGGCUACAGAUGUAUCUAUCUAAAGUAACUUGCUUUUCAGUAUUUUGCUGAGUCCACUGUAAAUUAAAAUCAUGCAAAGGGGUUCAGAUAACAACAUGCCACUGACACCCAUCUCUCUCAAGAGCUGCAGCUGCUAUCAUUACUGGCUUCAGACAAUUUUCUGGUGAAUAAAUCUGGACAAUACUAGAAAGAUGCUGCCCUCCUGGUCUAAUCUCACCAAGCAAAUGAAGAGAAACUCCUGUACCCAUAGACAGUGAGGAUGAUUUUAACCUAUUUACAGGUGACUCAUUGGAUUUUUCUGGCUUGUUCUAUGAAUUCUCAACCAAUAUCAACAAUAAUUCAUUUUUUUUUAUAGAUCCUAUCAUGUGUAAGAUCACAGCCACCAACCAUUAUGCAAAGCCAGAACAGAUGUGGCUGCUGAUAUCAAUUGCUUAAAUACUGAGUGCAAGAUUGCAUCAAACCUUCUGUAGAUUUACAUGAUGAGAACUAUCUAGUUUUUUGCUUCCUUACAUCUGAGUUAGUAAAAACUUUUACUCAUCUGAGUGUAUUGCUUCCUUCAGGUAAUGAUUUUCUCUAAUGGAUACAGUGGGAGUUUUGCCACUGACUUUAGAAAUUUUCAUCCAGUGAUGUCUAGAACUAGGUCCAGAUAUAUCAAUGGCGGAUCUGGGAAACUUGCCCAGUGACUCAAGCUGGAUCUUUUCUCCCUGUGGCUCCUGAGAAUGUUUGUUCUUCCUGAAAAUAC
This is a long non-coding RNA of Strigops habroptila (Kakapo), 767 nucleotides long. RefSeq lists it as uncharacterized. The transcript has 2 exons. NCBI's taxonomy places the organism in Eukaryota, Metazoa, Chordata, Aves, Psittaciformes, Psittacidae. The record is from RefSeq and is a predicted model, not a curated record.